RNAcentral lists this small nuclear RNA (92 nucleotides) under Castor canadensis (American beaver). Lineage: Eukaryota; Metazoa; Chordata; Mammalia; Rodentia; Castoridae. The record is from RNAcentral.
GUGCUCUUUUUGACAGCACUUACACUAAGCUGGAAAGAUACAGAGAAAUUAGUAUGGAUGACAUGCAAAUUUGUUAGGCAUUCCAUAUUUUU